GUCUGUUGGUGGUGCAGUUAACAUGCUCAGCUGCUAACUAAAAGUUUGGAGGUUCAAGUCCUCCCACAGGCA
This 72-nucleotide transfer RNA is filed under the name Loxodonta africana (African savanna elephant). It matches the Rfam family "tRNA". From Rfam's summary of the family: Transfer RNA (tRNA) molecules are approximately 80 nucleotides in length. Their secondary structure includes four short double-helical elements and three loops (D, anti-codon, and T loops). Lineage: Eukaryota; Metazoa; Chordata; Mammalia; Proboscidea; Elephantidae. The record is from Rfam by way of RNAcentral.